This 240-nucleotide ribosomal RNA is filed under the name uncultured Planctomycetales bacterium. Its description in RNAcentral is "partial 16S ribosomal RNA". It matches the Rfam family "Bacterial small subunit ribosomal RNA", at positions 434 to 666 of the family's 1533-position model. The record is from RNAcentral. Lineage: Bacteria; Pseudomonadati; Planctomycetota; Planctomycetia; Planctomycetales.
GUCGGGAGUUAGGAAAUGCAGGUUGGUUAAUACCCAACCUGUUUGACAAAGGCCCCAAAGGAAGCCACGGCUAACUCUGUGCCAGCAGCCGCGGUAAUACAGAGGUGGCAAGCGUUGUUCGGUAUUAUUGGGCGUAAAGAGCACGUAGGUGGUUUUGUAAGUCAGAUGUGAGAGCCUUCUGUUCAAAGGAAGAACGGCAUCUGAAACUGCAGAUCUUGAGUGUAGGAGGGGAGAGUGGAA